Molecule: ribosomal RNA, 459 nt
Filed under: uncultured bacterium
Lineage: Bacteria
Description: partial 16S ribosomal RNA
Rfam family: Bacterial small subunit ribosomal RNA
Source: RNAcentral
CCUACGGGAGGCAGCAGUGAGGAAUAUUGGUCAAUGGCCGGGAGGCUGAACCAGCCAAGUCGCGUGAGGGAAGACGGCCCUACGGGUUGUAAACCUCUUUUGUCAGGGAGCAAGGUGCAGGUCGGGACCUGCUGUGAGAGUACCUGAAGAAAAAGCAUCGGCAAACUCCGUGCCAGCAGCCGCGGUAAUACGGAGGAUGCGAGCGUUAUCCGGAUUUAUUGGGUUUAAAGGGUGCGCAGGCGGAGGCACAAGUCAGCGGUAAAAUCGCGGGGCUCAACCCCGCUCCGCCGUUGAAACUGUGUCCCUUGAGUGCGCGAAGGGUAGGCGGAAUGCGUGGUGUAGCGGUGAAAUGCAUAGAUAUCACGCAGAACUCCGAUCGCGAAGGCAGGUCUCUGGGCCGUUACUGACGCUGAGGAGCGAAAGCGUGGGGAGCGAACAGGAUUAGAUACCCGAGUAGUC